GCAAGAACAUACCUUUUUGAAAUAAUGGUAAACCAGCAUACUGUAUAGGCUUUUUAAAAAUUACAGGGUACAUAUCUAUGCAUUUAUAAAGUAAUCUUUUUAACAAAAGUGCACUGAAAACGAAAACUAUUGCAACUUUUGCUUAAAUAUUGGGGAAAGAUACUCUUGUUUCAUGUAGUGGGUAAGUACAAUAAAAAUGCAUACACAAUCUUAUAUCACUGACUCGGAAACCUUUAUUUAUUAUACAAGCACCACUUACCCUGUAACCACAUGAAACCAGAUAUAUUUCCCAGUAUAUUAAAAAAAAUUGCAAUAGUCUUAGCUUUUCUUGCAUUGAAACAUGUUAGCCCAAACUUAAACAUCUGCACUUUUGCUAUAAAAAAAAAGAAAAGAAAA
This is a long non-coding RNA of Rhinichthys klamathensis goyatoka, 396 nucleotides long. RefSeq lists it as uncharacterized. The transcript has 2 exons. NCBI's taxonomy places the organism in Eukaryota, Metazoa, Chordata, Actinopteri, Cypriniformes, Leuciscidae. The record is from RefSeq and is a predicted model, not a curated record.